GGGAGGCGGACGGCAUCUUUCAUUAUAAAUUGGUGAGGAGGCUAGCGAGAGACAAGUAUGCCUUGUUGUGUAUAUUAAUCUUGAGCUGGUCAUAGUUUUUCUUUCUUGGAUGUCUUAGCAUGAUUGAUGGUUGCAGACUUGCAGUAGGUGCCCUGAAACUAAUAUACAGUCUAACAUGAUGAUAUACAGAACAAACAAGAGGAUCGUUCAUUGAAUUUCCAGUAUCGUGCAGUCAGCUAUGAGGAACUGAUGAUUAGAGCAAACUACGUUGCUGUAGACACACACAAUGAAUGGAUGGACGUAUCCUCAAGUCGACUCAGGGAAAGUUCUAGCCAUGAGCCUGAAGCCGUGCGAGGUUAUUCAAAGAAAAAGAAUAGAGUCGCAUCCCGGGAGGAUCUUUGAAUUGAAGAAGUAAACAAAACAUUGGGAUGGCAAUAUGAUGCCCAAGUUGUUUCUGCAUGUCUAUUGCUAUAUGCUACAUGUCAAAUUAGAUGUUCUGAGAUCAGUGAUACCCUAACCAAA
Molecule: long non-coding RNA, 522 nt
Filed under: Hordeum vulgare
Lineage: Eukaryota; Viridiplantae; Streptophyta; Magnoliopsida; Poales; Poaceae
Description: long non-coding RNA (HVUL_LNC017090)
Source: RNAcentral